This is a non-coding RNA of Schistosoma margrebowiei, 45 nucleotides long. The record is from Rfam. NCBI's taxonomy places the organism in Eukaryota, Metazoa, Platyhelminthes, Trematoda, Strigeidida, Schistosomatidae.
AUUCAGCCGACGAGUCGCAAAUAGGACGAAAUGUGCAUCCUCGAU